AAAAAGAAAAUGCUACAAGAUGCCUUUAAAGAAAACCUUCUCCCUCAGAGUGACAUUAAAAGACUGAUGUCUGAAACAUAUUAUGCCCAGCGCAUCACUCUGAAUAGUGAGGAAAAUAUUAUCAAAGUCAUGGAAGAAUGGCCUUACCUCUUCGACACCACCCAUCUGCUCGACCACACAGAGAAACUAAUGGGAUUUCCUGUCCAAACCAAAUUGCUGAACCAAAUUCAGGAGAAGGGCGAGAUCAUCACUGAGUUUCUUGGUAGCAGGGAAUCACAGGAGUUACUACAGACCCAUUGAAGCUCCUCCAGGGUCUAGUGAAGUACCUCUCAGAGGAGCAAAAGGUGCUUUUAAUAAAUGAAGAAGAUGCCUUAGCAGAGCUGCCAAGCACCCCGUGCAUCAUAGUUAUGGAUGAAGGAAGAUACAAGAUGUCAGUGGAUGAAGUCCCAGUUAACAUAAUCGGCUGUCCACUAGUUGCUGUGAGCUAUAUGUUCAGCCUGUAUUAUGUGCUGAAUAUAAAGUAUCCAACGGGAGCAGCCCUGACUCUGGAGUUCAUCCAGAGGUGCCUGCUGGGGAUAAACCCAGAACGGGGCACGAAAGCAGAAAAGCGGGGGAAACAGUACAACAUCCCUCCAAAACUGCUUAGAUUCCUGUCGGACCUUAAUGACUUCAAGAAUCCGUGGAAGAUUUAAAGCAGAAGAAGCAUCUCAAACAGAGAGAAAGGAGAGUGAUGUGUGUCUGUGGACACCCAUCUUUACGGAGGACAACCAUGGUAUUAUUAACUUUUUUUAAAUAAGGACCAUUUUGCAAAAGUGAGGACAUUUCAGCCGACUACACUUUAUUUUCCCCGGCCUUUAAAGGCUAUUUACAAGCUUCUUUCAAGUUUUCCGAGAGAUCCUCAGAAAACGUGCAAACAUCUGUUCCUGUGCAUCUACGCUUUUUGUACUCUGAAUACAGACUUUUGCUCUCUACUGCCCUCUACUGACAUGGACUUAUUUGCCCUGGAACAAGGAAAACUAGAGGAAGACAUGUCACAUGGUUUUAGAAUGAAAUG
This is a long non-coding RNA of Etheostoma spectabile (orangethroat darter), 1054 nucleotides long. RefSeq lists it as uncharacterized. The record is from RefSeq and is a predicted model, not a curated record. Lineage: Eukaryota; Metazoa; Chordata; Actinopteri; Perciformes; Percidae. The transcript has 5 exons.